GAUCCUGGCUCAGAAUCAACGCUGGCGGCGUGCCUCAGACAUGCAAGUCGAACGAGAAAGUCCCCUUCGGGGGAUGAGUAAAGUGGCGCACGGGUGAGUAACACGUAGGUAAUCUACCUUCGGGUGGGGAAUAACCCAGGGAAACUUGGGCUAACACCGCAUAAUGCAGCGGCACCACAUGGUGACAGUUGUUAAAGCGGGGGAUUUUAGGACCUCGCGCCUGAAGAGGAGCCUGCGGCGGAUUAGCUAGUUGGUAAGGUAACGGCUUACCAAGGCGACGAUCCGUAACCGGCCUGAGAGGGCGGUCGGUCACACUGACACUGACAUACGGGUCAGACUCCUACGGGAGGCAGCAGUCGGGAAUUUUGGGCAAUGGGCGAAAGCCUGACCCAGCAACGCCGCGUGAAGGAUGAAAUCCCUCGGGAUGUAAACUUCGCAAGAUUGGGAAGAAUUAGUAGGGGCUAAUACCCUCUAUGAUGACGGUACCUUUUGUAAGCUCCGGCUAACUCCGUGCCAGCAGCCGCGGUAAUACGGGGGGAGCAAGCGUUGUUCGGAUUUACUGGGCGUAAAGGGCGCGUAGGCGGUCAGCACAAGUCAGUUGUGAAAUCUCCGGGCUUAACUCGGAAAGGUCAACUGAUACUGUGCGACUAGAGUGCAGAAGGGGCAACUGGAAUUCUCGGUGUAGCGGUG
Molecule: ribosomal RNA, 690 nt
Filed under: uncultured Acidobacteriota bacterium
Lineage: Bacteria; Pseudomonadati; Acidobacteriota
Description: bacterial SSU rRNA
Rfam family: Bacterial small subunit ribosomal RNA
Source: RNAcentral